Molecule: ribosomal RNA, 262 nt
Filed under: uncultured bacterium
Lineage: Bacteria
Description: partial 16S ribosomal RNA
Rfam family: Bacterial small subunit ribosomal RNA
Source: RNAcentral
UUGCCUACGGGGGGCAGCAGUAGGGAAUUUUCGUCAAUGGGCGCAAGCCUGAACGAGCAAUGCCGCGUGAAGGAAGAAGGCUUUCGGGUUGUAAACUUCUUUUCUCAGGGACGAAGCAAGUGACGGUACCUGAGGAAUAAGCCACGGCUAACUACGUGCCAGCAGCCGCGGUAAUACGUAGGUGGCAAGCGUUAUCCGGAUUUACUGGGUGUAAAGGGCGUGUAGGCGGGACUGCAAGUCAGAUGCGAAAACCCCGGGCUCA